CUCCUAAGCUAGACACCCCUUUACUAGUUUUUCACAAAAUAUGUGAACAAGGCCUUUGGCCUUGAGCUGGGGCUUCACAGAGAUGGCUACAUUUUUAAGAUAAAAAAGUUAUCAACUGGGCUCCAUGGUAACAGCUGGCAGGGAAAAAAAAAGUUCUCCCCCUCCCAGGUGUCCUUGAAAAGUUAACUUGCCCAGAACAGAGGAAAA
This 207-nucleotide long non-coding RNA is filed under the name Marmota monax (woodchuck). Lineage: Eukaryota; Metazoa; Chordata; Mammalia; Rodentia; Sciuridae. The record is from RNAcentral.